RNAcentral lists this unclassified non-coding RNA (224 nucleotides) under Hevea brasiliensis (rubber tree). The record is from RNAcentral. Lineage: Eukaryota; Viridiplantae; Streptophyta; Magnoliopsida; Malpighiales; Euphorbiaceae.
UUUAAGCCCAACCCUAAGUCUCACAUCCAGGAGAGCUGGAGGAUCUUUGACUUCCUAUCCCAUGUUCCUGAAAGCUUGCAUAUGCUCAGCUUCCUUUUUGAUGAUUUGGGUAUUCCACAAGAUUACCGGCACAUGGAAGGCUCUGGUGUUAACACCUAUACUCUAAUCAACAAGGCUGGAAAAGUACACUAUGUGAAAUUUCACUGGAAACCUACUUGUGGUGU